RNAcentral lists this ribosomal RNA (404 nucleotides) under uncultured bacterium. Its description in RNAcentral is "bacterial SSU rRNA". It matches the Rfam family "Bacterial small subunit ribosomal RNA", at positions 355 to 776 of the family's 1533-position model. The record is from RNAcentral.
UGGGGAAUAUUGGACAAUGGGCGCAAGCCUGAUCCAGCCAUGCCGCGUGAGUGAUGAAGGCCCUAGGGUUGUAAAGCUCUUUCGACGGGGACGAUGAUGACGGUACCCGUAGAAGAAGCCCCGGCUAACUUCGUGCCAGCAGCCGCGGUAAUACGAAGGGGGCUAGCGUUGUUCGGAAUUACUGGGCGUAAAGCGCACGCAGGCGGCUUUUCAAGUCAGAAGUGAAAGCCCUGGGCUCAACCCGGGAAUUGCUCUUGAUACUGGAAGGCUAGAGUCACGGAGAGGGUAGGGGAAUUCCGAGUGUAGAGGUGAAAUUCGUAGAUAUUCGGAAGAACACCAGUGGCGAAGGCGCCUACCUGGCCGUGUACUGACGCUCAUGUGCGAAAGCGUGGGGAGCAAACAGG